Maniola jurtina (meadow brown) is the source of this 168-nucleotide long non-coding RNA. RefSeq lists it as uncharacterized. The record is from RefSeq and is a predicted model, not a curated record. NCBI's taxonomy places the organism in Eukaryota, Metazoa, Arthropoda, Insecta, Lepidoptera, Nymphalidae. The transcript is spliced from 3 exons.
AAUUUACUUACUUAAUAUUUGUAUUGGCGUCAUUCAGAAAUGCAGGUAUUAUUUAAAUAUUUUUAUCGAAUUAUUGGAAUGUCCUCUCAUAACCAACACAAAAAACACAAGUUCAAUGUGUACAGGUUAUCCGAGAGUUUUAAUCUAAAAAAAAAAAUAAGGCUAAAA